AAGGUCAGUGAGCCUAUUUUAGCGAGAUCCAGCGCCGCGGCGCGCCCUGUGAUGCGGUCCGGCCAGCCGAGGCAAUGCGCAAUCGGCGUGCGCAUGUCGGGCGUUCCAAGCUGGGCCAUGACGGAUCGAUCCGAGAAUUCAACCAUGCCGUGAACGAUGGACUGCGGAUGCACCAGCACGUCGAUUUCAUCCGGUGACAGGGCGAACA
RNAcentral lists this unclassified non-coding RNA (208 nucleotides) under Hevea brasiliensis (rubber tree). The record is from RNAcentral. Lineage: Eukaryota; Viridiplantae; Streptophyta; Magnoliopsida; Malpighiales; Euphorbiaceae.